RNAcentral lists this long non-coding RNA (582 nucleotides) under Homo sapiens (human). RNAcentral's name for it is "LHRI_LNC802.7". The record is from RNAcentral. Lineage: Eukaryota; Metazoa; Chordata; Mammalia; Primates; Hominidae.
GCCUGGCUAAGUUUUGUACUUUUGUAGAGAUGGGGUUUCACCAUGUUGGCCAGGCUGGUCUCAAACUCCUGACCUUAUAAUCUUCCCACCUCGGCCUCUGAAAGUGCUGGGAUUACAGUCAUGAGCCACCGCGCCCGGCCCGUGUUGUGUCUUUUCUAACCCUGCAUGCCUGCCUUGACCUAGAACCCUGCAGGAAACAUUUAAAGAGCGCUCACUACCUGCCAGGCACUGUGCUACCUCACACUGUCCUCACAACACCCCGAUGAGGACAGUCUUACCACUUCCACUUUACAGAUGAGCAACUGGGUCACAAAGAGGUGAAGUGACUUGCCCAUGGUCAAAGUAAGUGGGGGAACCAGAUUCAAAUCCAUGCAGGCCAACUCCAGGUCAUUAUCCUUAAUGGGGCUAUGCUGCCAGCAAUACAAGCUGCCUACAAACACUUAGCAAAUGAGAGAGAAUAAAGAAUGAGGGCUGGGAGUGGUGGCUCACACCUGUAAUCCCAGCACUUUGGGUGGCCGAGGCGGGUGGAUCACUUGAGGCCAGGAGUUCAAGACCAGGCUGGCCAACAUAGUGAAACCCAAU